UUCCCCUUCGGGGGACAAAGUGACAGGUGGUGCAUGGUUGUCGUCAGCUCGUGUCGUGAGAUGUUGGGUUAAGUCCCGCAACGAGCGCAACCCUUAAGCUUAGUUGCCAUCAUUAAGUUGGGCACUCUAAGUUGACUGCCGGUGACAAACCGGAGGAAGGUGGGGAUGACGUCAAAUCAUCAUGCCCCUUAUGAUUUGGGCUACACACGUGCUACAAUGGACAAUACAAAGGGCAGCGAAACCGCGAGGUCAAGCAAACCCCAUAAAGUUGUUCUCAGUUCGGAUUGUAGUCUGCAACUCGACUACAUGAAGCUGGAAUCGCUAGUAAUCGUAGAUCAGCAUGCUACGGUGAAUACGUUCCUGGGUCUUGUACACACCGCCCGUCACACCACGAGAGUUUGUAACACCCGAAGCCGGUGGAGUAACCUUUUAGGAGCUAGCCGUCGAAGGUGGGACAAAUGAUUGGGGUGAAGUCGUAACAAGGUAGCCGUAUCGGAAGGUGCGGCUGGAUCACCUCCUUU
Molecule: ribosomal RNA, 521 nt
Filed under: Staphylococcus aureus
Lineage: Bacteria; Bacillati; Bacillota; Bacilli; Caryophanales; Staphylococcaceae
Description: bacterial SSU rRNA
Rfam family: Bacterial small subunit ribosomal RNA
Source: RNAcentral